This 49-nucleotide transfer RNA is filed under the name Sarcoptes scabiei. RNAcentral describes it as "tRNA-Ala". Lineage: Eukaryota; Metazoa; Arthropoda; Arachnida; Sarcoptiformes; Sarcoptidae. The record is from RNAcentral.
UGGACGUAAAAAAAAUUAUUUGCACUAAUCUUCAUAAAACGACCUUUAA